UGCUAUACGGUUAAGUUUGAUGGCGCCUUAAACUCUUGGCGCGUGUUAUGUACUACGGACAUAGUGCUGAGAUUUGAGGCUUCGGUUACAUGCGAAAAGUAAAAAGUUCGUCUAACGUUUCAUUACUUGCUUCUACCUAUUUUUCCGUAUUUAUAUAGAGGGAGAGACUGGUGACUGAGAUAAGGUAAACCUAUUGAAACCAGAGAAAUGUUUUUAAGGAGGGUCUGGAAAUGAAAGAAAAAUUAAAUAGCUGGCAGAGAAUUGUACGGGCUCAGCACUACAACAUCAACAGCAGCAACAACAAGAAGGACUGGAGCGUGUAAGG
Molecule: long non-coding RNA, 325 nt
Organism: Protopterus annectens (West African lungfish)
Lineage: Eukaryota; Metazoa; Chordata; Ceratodontiformes; Protopteridae
Exons: 3
Source: RefSeq, a predicted model, not a curated record